CCUACGGGAGGCAGCAGUGAGGAAUAUUGGUCAAUGGGCGGGAGCCUGAACCAGCCAAGUCGCGUGAGGGAAGACGGUCCUAUGGAUUGUAAACCUCUUUAGGCGGGGAGCAAUGCCGGGCACGCGUGCCCGGAGGGAGAGUACCCGCAGAAUAAGCAUCGGCUAACUCCGUGCCAGCAGCCGCGGUAAUACGGAGGAUGCGAGCGUUAUCCGGAUUGAUUGGGGUUAAAGGGUGCGUAGGCGGAUUUUUAAGUCAGCGGUAAAAUGUCCGGGCUCAACCCGGGCCGGCCGUUGAAACUGGGGAUCUUGAGUGGGCGAGAAGUAUGCGGAAUGCGUGGUGUAGCGGUGAAAUGCAUAGAUAUCACGCAGAACUCCGAUUGCGAAGGCAGCAUACCGGCGCCCGACUGACGCUGAGGCACGAAAGCGUGGGGAUCGAACAGGAUUAGAUACCCGAGUAGUC
RNAcentral lists this ribosomal RNA (460 nucleotides) under uncultured bacterium. RNAcentral describes it as "partial 16S ribosomal RNA". It matches the Rfam family "Bacterial small subunit ribosomal RNA", at positions 338 to 795 of the family's 1533-position model. The record is from RNAcentral.